GCAGCAGCCGCGGUAAUACAGAGGGUGCGAGCGUUAAUCGGAUUUACUGGGCGUAAAGCGUGCGUAGGCGGCUUCUUAAGUCGGAUGUGAAAUCCCUGAGCUUAACUUAGGAAUUGCAUUCGAUACUGGGAAGCUAGAGUAUGGGAGAGGAUGGUAGAAUUCCAGGUGUAGCGGUGAAAUGCGUAGAGAUCUGGAGGAAUACCGAUGGCGAAGGCAGCCAUCUGGCCUAAUACUGACGCUGAGGUACGAAAGCAUGGGGAGCAAACAGGAUUAGAGACCCCGUAGUCCCUGUCUCUUAUACA
RNAcentral lists this ribosomal RNA (302 nucleotides) under uncultured bacterium. RNAcentral describes it as "partial 16S ribosomal RNA". It matches the Rfam family "Bacterial small subunit ribosomal RNA", at positions 508 to 808 of the family's 1533-position model. The record is from RNAcentral.